RNAcentral lists this ribosomal RNA (913 nucleotides) under marine metagenome. RNAcentral's name for it is "bacterial SSU rRNA". It matches the Rfam family "Bacterial small subunit ribosomal RNA", at positions 593 to 1520 of the family's 1533-position model. The record is from RNAcentral.
GGUGAAAGCCUACAGCUCAACUGUAGAACUGCCAUUGAAACUGUUAUUCUUGAGUAUGGAUGAAGUGGGCGGAAUAUGUCAUGUAGCGGUGAAAUGCAUAGAUAUGACAUGGAACACCAAUUGCGAAGGCAGCUCACUAAACCAUUACUGACGCUCAUGGACGAAAGCGUGGGGAGCGAACAGGAUUAGAUACCCUGGUAGUCCACGCCGUAAACGAUGAUCACUAGAUGUUGGCGAUAUAAUGUCAGCGUUCAAGAGAAAUCGAUAAGUGAUCCACCUGGGGAGUACGUUCGCAAGAAUGAAACUCAAAGGAAUUGACGGGGGCCCGCACAAGCGGAGGAGCAUGUGGUUUAAUUCGAUGAUACGCGAGGAACCUUACCAAGGCUUAAAUGUAAUAUGACCGGUUGAGAGAUCAACCUUUUUUCGAACAGAUUACAAGGUGCUGCAUGGUUGUCGUCAGCUCGUGCCGUGAGGUGUCGGGUUAAGUCCCAUAACGAGCGCAACCCCUAUUUUUAGUUACCAGCGAGUAAUGUCGGGAACUCUAGAAAAACUGCCUGUGCAAACAGAGAGGAAGGUGGGGAUGACGUCAAAUCAUCACGGCCCUUAUGUCUUGGGCUACACACGUGCUACAAUGGUUACUACAAUGUGAUGCCAUCUGGUGACAGAGAGCUAAUCAAUAAAGGUAAUCUCAGUUCGGAUUGGAGUCUGCAACUCGACUCUAUGAAGUUGGAUUCGCUAGUAAUCGUAUAUCAGCCAUGAUACGGUGAAUACGUUCCCGGGCCUUGUACACACCGCCCGUCAAGCCAUGGAAGUUUGGGGUACCUGAAGUCAGUAACCGCAAGGAACUGCCUAGGGUAAAACGAAUAACUAGGGCUAAGUCGUAACAAGGUAGCCGUACCGGAAGGUGUGGCUG